Ochlerotatus camptorhynchus is the source of this 2258-nucleotide RNA transcript. It is a transcript of the gene named RNA-binding protein squid, with no coding region annotated. Lineage: Eukaryota; Metazoa; Arthropoda; Insecta; Diptera; Culicidae. The record is from RefSeq and is a predicted model, not a curated record. The transcript is spliced from 8 exons.
AGUGCGCAGUAUUCUUUCUCUUCGGGUUCAUCGCUGGAGCAAGACGCGAUCACACGCUACUCGCUGAGAAAUCGCGUUUCUAAAUUUAAUAGUGAUUUUAGGAUCUCUAGUUUGAAGGAAAAAGCAACUUUUUCCUUGCAAAUUUUAAACUUGCAUCCCGUGGAAGUGAAGAGCAGUUUAUUUUACGGAAUUAACCGCAUUCGGGGCUCUUAGUACCUAGUAGAAAGUGUAACCGAGUUAAGUGUUAAGGCAGAAAAAGUAAAAUGGCCGAUCAGGAUCAAGAGAUGAACGGAAACGGUCAAGACCAGCAGGACCACAACGGAGACCAGAAGGAGAACGGAGCCGAGGGCUCGUCGGUUCGUGAUGACGACAGAAAAUUAUUCGUUGGUGGACUUAGUUGGGAAACAUCAGACAAGGAACUGAAGGAACACUUUGGCCAGUAUGGUGAAAUCGAGAGCAUAAACGUCAAGACAGAUCCCAACACGGGUCGCUCGCGAGGAUUCGCCUUCAUCGUGUACAAGAAUGCCGACUCGAUCGAUAAGGUCGUCGCCGCCGGCGAUCACGUCAUCAACAACAAGAAGGUCGACCCAAAGAAGGCCAAGGCCCGUCACGGCAAAAUUUUCGUCGGUGGACUGACCACGGAGAUCAGUGAUGAAGAGAUCAAGACCUUCUUCGGACAGUUUGGCAAUAUCGUCGAAGUCGAGAUGCCAUUCGACAAGCAGAAGAAUCAGCGCAAGGGCUUCUGCUUCAUCACCUUCGACUCGGAGCAGGUGGUGAACGAACUGCUCAAAACGCCAAAGCAAACCAUCUCCGGCAAGGAGGUGGACGUAAAGAAAGCUACUCCCAAACCCGACAACAUGGGAAUGGGUGGUCCGAUGGGUGGACGUGGUGGCAUGCGUGGACCGCCGCGAGGUGGCUUCCGAGGUGGACGCGGGGGACCUGGAGGACCCAAAAGCUACGGACAAAGCUGGGGCGGACAAGGAGGAUACGGCGGCAGCGGCGGUUAUGGCAACCAGGGCGGAUAUGGAUACGGUGACUAUUAUGGUGGCGAUUGGGCGGGAUGGGGCUACAACGGUUAUGAUUACUCCCACUACGACGACUACUACGGAGGCUACAACGACGGUUACGGCAACGGCGGUGGUCGACUUGGUGGUCCUCGCGGGGGUAAAGGCUCCGGCGGUGGUGGUGGAGGCGGCGGUGGCGGCGGAUAUCAGGGCGGUAAGCAGCGAGGUGGAGGCGGUGGCAACCGCCAGCCAAGGCAUACGCCGUACUAGAUGCUGCAGACAGUGGACACAGCGUCCUUUCCCUUUUAAUUACUAUAGACUAGUAGUUUAGCGCCCCCUCCAAAACAACCCUUUAAAUACUAGCGAGAUAAGCCCCCGUAAUAAUUCCUAUUCGAGAUCCAAGAAGACAGCGAGUGAAUGAGAGAGAGCAUAGGUGGAGCGUGUGAGAGAACUGAACAUGUAGAGAGAUAAAAUUCUUCCGCUACACACACUGAAUACACACACGGGACAUCCCGUCCACACUGGAGAAGAGGGAAGGCAGCAACAGUCGUACACCUUCCAGGGAUCCAAGUUUCCCACCGUGACUACUCUUCAACAUGAUUCUCUUGUUGGCUGUUUGGAUUUGAAGUAUCUGGAUCAAGAUAAUCUCCCUCUUUCUAUACUCGUUAACCCAAAAAUACACAGAACAAAACAGGACUGAUGAAUACAUUUAGUUGUCGUGUCCCCCCCCCCAUUCUCUCGUCAUAACUCUGUAUGUAUUUAAUGUGCAUGCAAGCACGAUAAAAGUAAGACAAAUUGGAUACUUAAGUGUGCAUGCACACACAAACACACGCGUCCAUUGAUGGACGCCUAAACACGUAGGAUUGUGGAGUAUGUAAUCUUUAAAUUAUAUUGUUGAACAAUUUUUUCCUUGUGGCAUUUAAAAAGCAAAAGAUUAUUUUCCGUAACUACACAGACUAGUGAGUAUGUAUGCAAACUGCCUAUGAUAGGCAGUUGAAAAACAAGAAGAAGAAAAAACUGAUGCAAAGCUGACGGACAGAAAGCAAGUAGAUAAUACUCCCCCACUAAUUUAUAUAUUUGCCCCUAGCGAGUAAGAACACUGACAAUUUAAAGCAAAAACAAAAAUUCAACUAUUUACAUAUAUUUUAUGUAGAUUAAAAGGCUCCAAACAACAAUAACAUCUCUAUAAUGUAUUAUAUUUUUAAAACACACAAUUCACUGAAUAAAAGCAGUCUCAGUCGCCAAACAAUAGAA